UACGUAGGGUGCAAGCGUUAAUCGGAAUUACUGGGCGUAAAGCGUGCGCAGGCGGCUUUGCAAGACAGAUGUGAAAUCCCCGGGCUCAACCUGGGAACUGCAUUUGUGACUGCACAGCUGGAGUGCGGCAGAGGGGGAUGGAAUUCCGCGCGUAGCAGUGAAAUGCGUAGAUAUGCGGAGGAACACCGAUGGCGAAGGCAAUCCCCUGGGCCUGCACUGACGCUCAUGCACGAAAGCGUGGGGAGCAAACAGG
This 253-nucleotide ribosomal RNA is filed under the name uncultured bacterium. RNAcentral's name for it is "partial 16S ribosomal RNA". It matches the Rfam family "Bacterial small subunit ribosomal RNA", at positions 524 to 776 of the family's 1533-position model. The record is from RNAcentral.